UACGAAGGGUGCAAGCGUUGCUCGGAAUUACUGGGCGUAAAGCGUGCGUAGGUGGUGAGUUAAGUCUGUCGUGAAAGCCCCGGGCUCAACCUGGGAAUGGCGAUGGAUACUGGCUCGCUAGAGUGCGGUAGAGGAGAGUGGAAUUCCCGGUGUAGCGGUGAAAUGCGCAGAUAUCGGGAGGAACACCCGUGGCGAAGGCGGCUCUCUGGGACGGUACUGACGCUGAGACGCGAAAGCGUGGGGAGCGAACAGG
Molecule: ribosomal RNA, 253 nt
Filed under: uncultured bacterium
Lineage: Bacteria
Description: partial 16S ribosomal RNA
Rfam family: Bacterial small subunit ribosomal RNA
Source: RNAcentral